CCUACGGGUGGCAGCAGUGAGGAAUAUUGGUCAAUGGACGAGAGUCUGAACCAGCCAAGUAGCGUGAAGGAUGACUGCCCUAUGGGUUGUAAACUUCUUUUAUAUGGGAAUAAAAUGUUCCACGUGUGGGAUUUUGUAUGUACCAUAUGAAUAAGGAUCGGCUAACUCCGUGCCAGCAGCCGCGGUAAUACGGAGGAUCCGAGCGUUAUCCGGAUUUAUUGGGUUUAAAGGGAGCGUAGGUGGAUUGUUAAGUCAGUUGUGAAAGUUUGCGGCUCAACCGUAAAAUUGCAGUUGAAACUGGCAGUCUUGAGUACAGUAGAGGUGGGCGGAAUUCGUGGUGUAGCGGUGAAAUGCUUAGAUAUCACGAAGAACUCCGAUUGCGAAGACAGUUCACUGGACUGCAACUGACACUGAGGCUCGAAAGUGUGGGUAUCAAACAGGAUUAGAUACCCGAGUAGUC
This 460-nucleotide ribosomal RNA is filed under the name uncultured bacterium. Its description in RNAcentral is "partial 16S ribosomal RNA". It matches the Rfam family "Bacterial small subunit ribosomal RNA", at positions 338 to 795 of the family's 1533-position model. The record is from RNAcentral.